UAUAACUCCUGCUGCUCCACCGACCCUCGAAGCCUUCGAGGUGGCAACCAGCGUCGCGAAGCUGAGAAGCCGGCGAUCGCCGGGAAUGGACGGCAUCACGGGUGGGAUCGUCAAGGAGGUAUGGCGUGCUAUCCCUCAGCACCUGACGAAGUUGUACUCUCGAUGCCUCUCGGAAGGAUAUUUUCCUGCCGAGUGGAAACACCCGAGAGUGAUACCGCUGGUAAAGGGGCCAGAUAAGGACAGGAGCGAUCCUGCCUCUUAUCGUGGCAUAUGCCUUUUGCCAGUGUUCGGAAAGGUGCUGGAAGGGAUCAUGGUGAAUCGACUGAAGGAUGUGCUACCGGAUGGCUGCAGAUGGCAAUUUGGAUUUCGGCCUGGACGCUGCGUUGAGGAUGCGUGGAUGCACGCUAAAAACACCGUUUCCACCAGCCGCGAGAGGAGGGUGCUGGGAAUCUUUGUUGAUUUCAAGGGUGCCUUCGACAAUGUUGAGUGGAACGCGGUGCUGGAUCGGCUUAUCGACGUCGGCUGUCGAGAGAUAGACUUGUGGAAAAGUUAUUUCUCCGGUCGAAGUGCCAGUAUCAUCAGCAGUUACGAAGCGGCCACAGUGUCGGUUACACGGGGCUGCCCGCAAGGGUCCGUCAGUGGUCCAUUUAUUUGGAACCUACUGAUGGAUGUGCUGCUUCAGCGCCUGGAGCCACAUUGUGCUCUGAGCGCGUUUGCAGAUGACUUGCUACUUUUCGUCGAUGGGAAUUCCCGUGCCGAUCUGGAGCGAAAGGGCGAGCAGUUGAUGGACAUCGUGGGAGCCUGGGGAGCUGAGGUUGGAGUGAGUGUGUCAACCAGCAAGACGGCAAUCAUGUUGCUGAAAGGGAAUCUUUCAGACACUAGGAGACCGACGGUACGGUUUGCUGGAGCAAGCCUGCCAUACGUCACCAAAUGCCGGUACCUUGGCAUCUUAGUCGGCGAGCGGAUGAGCUUUCUCCCGCAUAUCUCUGCUCUCAGAGAUCGGCUGGCUGGAGUUGCCGGAGGGCUAGCACGGGUGCUCCGAGUCGAUUGGGGGCUCAGCUCCCGUGCUAAGAGGACGAUAUACAGCGGACUCAUGGUCCCCUGUGCACUCUUCGGUGCCUCGGUCUGGUACAAGGCGGCGAGCAAGGGCAAGUCCUUAAGACUCCUCACCUCGUGCCAGAGGACCAUCCUAUUAGGAUGCCUACCGGUAUGCCGCACAGUGUCCACGGUGGCACUGCAGGUGCUUGCUGGUGCUCCUCCAAUGGAUUUAGAUGCUCACAGGAUGGCAGUGAAGUUUAAGCUCAGAAAGCACGUUCCCCUGGACGAGAGCGACUGGCUCUAUGGACAGGACUUGUCUGUGUUGGACUGGAAAUCCAAGAUGGCUCUGCUAGACGAAUGUCUGCUAAAUGAGUGGCAACUCAGAUGGGACCAAGCGGCUCACGGUUUUGUGACUCGCCAGUUUUUCCCAGAGGCAGCGUUCGUCUACAAGAGGAAGGACUUUGUCUUCACCUUAAGAGCCGGAUUCUUGCUGACAGGACACGGGUCGUUCAACGCUUUCCUCCAUGGUAGAACCCUCAGCACCACAACCGCAUGCUCAUGUGGAGAGGAGAGUGAGGACUGGCUUCACGUACUAUGUGAGUGCCGCCUCUAUAGCGAUUUGCGUGACUUGGAUGCCCUUGGCAUUGUUCGAGUCCAAGAACGAUGGAACGUCGCAGGAGUAGUCGAGACCCCAGAACGGAUGCGUCUCCUAGGAGCUUUUGCUGAUGCUGCCUUCUCGAGGCGUAGGAUGGAAGCGACGAGGGAUGAACCGCAGGCGCCGGGACAAUAGUCCCAAAACCCCCUUGCCGUGUGGCAACGGCGAAGAAUACUGCCACAGCUUGUCAUUGCUUGUCGUAGGAGGCGACUAAUAUGACAUGGUUGCCCCAUCCGAGCUUGUCGGAGCUGAAGGGGUGAGGCCCACCGAGCCUGAAAUUUCGGUGCCACGGGUUGAGUGGUUCUCCAAGGCUACUCAUUGAGGUCGGCCCCCUAGUGGGAGUUUCGUGGUGGCUGUGGUUGACACCUAUAUCGCGGGUAGAGUCCCCGGGCUCGACGUGGAUGUUGCGUUAAUACAACUCGGGUGCUGCGACCCAAAGAACAGUAGAGAUUUUAGAUAGAUCUCGCCCCUAUGCAAGGGGGAGUGCUUGCCCGACAAGCAAGUACUUAAAUUGCUACUGGGGUGGUUGCUAUGUACAUAGCUAUAGCUUCUAGUCCAGGGCGUUGGUUUGGCGCUUAACCCAGACCCUUGCAUUAUAUACUCCCUUGUGGGUAUAUUAGAAUGCCGUGGCUGUAAUCCCUUCAGUGCGGAACACGUCACGUUAAAUAAGUUCGGAGGGAUCCGAGACACACCUGUCCCUAUCUACUAUCUAGCGAAACCACAGCCAAGGGAACGGGCUUGGAAUAAUUAGCGGGGAAAGAAGACCCUUUUGAGCUUGACUCUAAUCUGGCAGUGUAAGGAGACAUAAGAGGUGUAGAAUAAGUGGGAGAUAUUAGACCUCGGUUUGGUAUCGCCAAUGAAAUACCACUACUCUUAUUGUUUCCUUACUUACUUGAUUAAAUGGAACGUGUAUCAUUUCCUAGCCAUUAUACGGAUAUAUUUAUUAUAUCUUAUGGUAUUGGGUUUUGAUGCAAGCUUCUUGAUCAAAGUAUCACGAGUUUGUUAUAUAAUCGCAAACAAAUUCUUUAAUAAAACGGUGCAUUUAUGUAUUUUUGAUUUGAAAAUUUGGUAUAACUCCAAUUACUCAGGUAUGAUCCAAUUCAAGGACAUUGCCAGGUAGGGAGUUUGACUGGGGCGGUACAUCUCUCAAAUAAUAACGGAGGUGUCCCAAGGCCAGCUCAGUGCGGACAGAAACCACACAUAGAGCAAAAGGGCAAAUGCUGACUUGAUCUCGGUGUUCAGUACACACAGGGACAGCAAAAGCUCGGCCUAUCGAUCCUUUUGGUUUAAAGAGUUUUUAACAAGAGGUGUCAGAAAAGUUACCAUAGGGAUAACUGGCUUGUGGCGGCCAAGCGUUCAUAGCGACGUCGCUUUUUGAUCCUUCGAUGUCGGCUCUUCCUAUCAUUGUGAAGCAAAAUUCACCAAGCGUUGGAUUGUUCACCCAUGCAAGGGAACGUGAGCUGGGUUUAGACCGUCGUGAGACAGGUUAGUUUUACCCUACUAAUGACAAAACGUUGUUGCGACAGCAUUCCUGCGUAGUACGAGAGGAACCGCAGGUACGGACCAAUGGCACAAUACUUGUUCGAGCGAACAGUGGUAUGACGCUACGUCCGUUGGAUUAUGCCUGAACGCCUCUAAGGUCGUAUCCGUGCUGGACUGCAAUGAUAAAUAAGGGGCAAUUUGCAUUGUAUGGCUUCUAAACCAUUUAAAGUUUAUAAUUUACUUUUUAAACGACAAUGGAUGUGAUGCCAAUGUAAUUUGUAACAUAGUAAAUUGGGAGGAUCUUUGAUCACCUGAUGCCGCGCUAGUUACAUAUAAAAGCAUUAUUU
Molecule: ribosomal RNA, 3522 nt
Filed under: Drosophila biarmipes
Lineage: Eukaryota; Metazoa; Arthropoda; Insecta; Diptera; Drosophilidae
Description: eukaryotic LSU rRNA
Rfam family: Eukaryotic large subunit ribosomal RNA (bases 2311-3522)
Source: RNAcentral